RNAcentral lists this ribosomal RNA (524 nucleotides) under uncultured bacterium. RNAcentral describes it as "partial 16S ribosomal RNA". It matches the Rfam family "Bacterial small subunit ribosomal RNA", at positions 28 to 523 of the family's 1533-position model. The record is from RNAcentral.
GACGAACGCUGGCGGCGUGCCUAAUACAUGCAAGUCGAACGAAGCUGUUUUAACUGGUGCUUGCACCGACUUAGACAACUGAGUGGCGAACGGGUGAGUAACACGUGGGUAACCUGCCCCAAAGCGGGGGAUAACAUUUGGAAACAGAUGCUAAUACCGCAUAACCACAGAAACCACAUGGUUUCUGUGUCAAAGAUGGUUUCGGCUAUCACUUUGGGAUGGACCCGCGGCGUAUUAGCUAGUUGGUAAGGUAAUGGCUUACCCAGGCAAUGAAACUUGGCAGCACUGAGAGGUUGAUCGGCCACGUUGGGACGGAGACCCGGCCCAAACUCCUAAGAGAGGCAGCAGAAUGAAUUCUUCCACAUUGGACGAAAGUCUGAUGGAGCAACGCCGCGUGAGUGAAGAAGGUUUUCGGAUCGUAAAACUCUGUUGUCAGAGAAGAACGUGUGCGAGAGUACCUGCUCGUGCAGUGACGGUAUCUGGCCAGAAAGCCACGGCUAACUACGUGCCAGCCGCCGCCGUAA